ACCCUUUUGUAGUUCAUGAGCGUGAUGACUGGGUGUUCACGUGGUUGUGCGAUCAUGUGCCUCCCUCAAUCCUUGCUACGACAUCAGAACAUUACCCGUCUGAUG
This 105-nucleotide small nucleolar RNA is filed under the name Catagonus wagneri (Chacoan peccary). RNAcentral describes it as "Small nucleolar RNA U13 (ENSCWAG00000010202.1)". It matches the Rfam family "Small nucleolar RNA U13". Lineage: Eukaryota; Metazoa; Chordata; Mammalia; Artiodactyla; Tayassuidae. The record is from Rfam by way of RNAcentral.